This is a long non-coding RNA of Lemur catta (Ring-tailed lemur), 325 nucleotides long. RefSeq lists it as uncharacterized. The record is from RefSeq and is a predicted model, not a curated record. NCBI's taxonomy places the organism in Eukaryota, Metazoa, Chordata, Mammalia, Primates, Lemuridae. The transcript is spliced from 3 exons.
UGACCAUCUACUAGAAGCUUGGGAAGCCUAGACAUUCCGGUGGCAGAGUGUGUGUGUACCUGGUCGUGUAGUAACCAUAGCCCUCCAAUUGUCAGGCACAGAGCAAAGACCUUGACACGGGUCAUCUCCUGUCAUCCUCACAGCAGGACCACGAGGCACAGGGAGGACUGCACUUUCUCCCCCCUUCAAAGUUGGGCAUGGCCAUGUGACUUGUUUUAACCAAUUACAUGUGAGUAUAAGUCUUAGGCGCCGCAUCUGGGCCAAAGCCUUGUUGCCGGGCCUCCCCGCGUGCUCUCUUCCCCCACGUGCUCUCUUCCCCCUGCAU